RNAcentral lists this ribosomal RNA (484 nucleotides) under uncultured bacterium. RNAcentral describes it as "bacterial SSU rRNA". It matches the Rfam family "Bacterial small subunit ribosomal RNA", at positions 8 to 507 of the family's 1533-position model. The record is from RNAcentral.
AGAGUUUGAUCAGUGGCUCGAGGACGAACGCUGGCGGCGUGCUUAACACAUGCAAGUCGAACGGUAAGGCCCUUCGGGGUACACGAGUGGCGAACGGGUGAGUAACACGUGGGAGAUCUGCCCUGCACUUCGGGAUAAGCCUGGGAAACUGGGUCUAAUACCGGAUAGGACCAUGGACUUCACGGUUUGUGGUGGAAAGCUUUUGCGGUGUGGGAUGGGCCCGCGGCCUAUCAGCUUGUUGGUGGGGUAAUGGCCUACCAAGGCGACGACGGGUAGCCGGCCUGAGAGGGUGUCCGGCCACACUGGGACUGAGAUACGGCCCAGACUCCUACGGGAGGCAGCAGUGGGGAAUAUUGCACAAUGGGCGCAAGCCUGAUGCAGCGACGCCGCGUGAGGGACGACGGCCUUCGGGUUGUAAACCUCUUUCAAUAGGGACGAAGCGCAAGUGACGGUACCUAUAGAAGAAGCACCGGCCAACUACGUG